Acanthosepion pharaonis is the source of this 109-nucleotide non-coding RNA. NCBI's taxonomy places the organism in Eukaryota, Metazoa, Mollusca, Cephalopoda, Sepiida, Sepiidae. The record is from the annotation of a GenBank genome assembly.
UUACGGUCAAAUCACGAUAAAAACACCGGUUCUGGUUCGAUUACCGAAGUUAAGCAUUGUAGAACCAGGUCAGGAUGGGGGACCGCUUGGGAACACCUGGUACUGUAAG